Pelobates cultripes (western spadefoot toad) is the source of this 221-nucleotide non-coding RNA. Lineage: Eukaryota; Metazoa; Chordata; Amphibia; Anura; Pelobatidae. The record is from the annotation of a GenBank genome assembly.
CUGAACUAAAAACAUUUUCAAUACAUUUUUAUGUUACUUUAAAGAUAUCAAAUACAAUUAAUCUGUGUUUUUCAUUUUACUCAUUUUCCCAACAAAAUCAGGAGGCCCAGGAAGCCCUUAAUCUGGCUGGUGAACUUUAUCUUUAUGUACCAGACCUUACAAAUGAUUUGGUAAUGGCAUGUUUGCAUGGAUCAAGUCCCCUUAUGACUGCUCAUCAGCAU